UCGUAUCUUCUUUUUUCAGGUUUCAUAAAUUUCUGCCAUUGUGGCGCGACCUCCUUUGGCUAGGCUGUUAGCUUAUUUCUAUAUUAUUGGCGAACCUAGGUACACAAAACAAAAAAAAAGGAACAAAGAGUCAGACAACCAAAAUUUGUAAAUGAAGGAGAUCAAUAUAAGCCAAACUCGAGGCAGAUCACCCGGUGGAAGAGAAGGCUAAGGUGGUGGGGGAUGCUCUUUCCUGUCCUCCUCUUGAUUCUAUAUACUAGAGAAAGAUGAAGCUGAGUUGCUUUUGUAUGAACCAACACAAAUACAUAAAUACGACCAUAAAAGGAAACCAAUUUGGUUCUUAUACCAAGUGACAUUGUAUCUGAACGAAAAGAAAAUAAGUGUCCCGUGCAUGCUUCCAUUUAGGGGUGAGCAAUUAAUCUAUUCGGUUGGCUUAAUUUAAAAAAAUUAAUAAUCGAUUUAAUUAAUUUUUAUUCAAUAAAUAAUUAAAACGAUCAAAAAUUUUUAAAAGGUUGAUCAUACUUGAAUCAAUCAAAAUUAGUUCAAUUUUGUUGAUUCAAUUAAAUAACUUAAUUUUUUAUUAUUUUUUUUAUUUUUCUUAUGAAUAAUUAUUUAAUUAUAAAUUCAAUUCAUUAAAACUCAAAUUCAAGUAUUAUUUAAAAUAAAUCACUAAAAAAUUAAAUAAUUUUAAUAAUAUUUUAUAAUAAAAAAUAAAAUAUUUAUAUAAAUUUUUUUAUUUUUACUUAUUAAAAAAUUGAUUAAUUGAGUUAGUUCAAUUAUCUAUUUUAAAAAUCAAAAAUCAAUCGAGUUAAUCAAUUUAAUUAAUUUAAAAAAUCAAUUAUAACCAAAAUCAAAUAAAUCAAAUUGAAUAAACUAAAUUUACUCAAUUUUGAUCAAUUUAAUUGAUUCAAAUAGAUUUUUGCUCACCUUUACUACCAUUUAUACAUUUAUCUUUUUCUCUAAUUAGUGUUUUAUAAUACUAAAUAUCUGGAAAAAUAGAUUACCCAUAAAUGAAUUGAAUAUGAAUGAAUUUAAAUAUAUUCAUAAAAUUUUUCAAUUAAUUAAUGAAUUUAAAAAUAUUUAUAAAUUUUUUUUAAAAUUUAAUAAACAAAUAUAAAUUAACAAAAAUUUAAUUUAUUCAGAGACUAUUCGUUUCUAUCAAAUUAUACGAAAACAAAAAUCAAUUAUUGCUUUGCGGGCAUUUCAAUACUUAAAAAUAAGGUUCAACUGUAGCAUACCAUUACCUUAAUAACUUCCCAGUGAGGUAACGAAGAACAGGGAUUGUUUCAACAGACUACCAAAUUGCCAAGCAAUUGGAAAUGGUUUACAAUUUCCCGAGAGGAACAGUUUUGAGGAGGCAACACUGAAUAUACAACAAGAUCAAAAGAUUACAUAAGAGGGAAAGAGAACGUACCUGGAAGUUGUUUGAGGAUUGCAUCCUAGCACCGUCAAUCGUUUGCUUCAAAGCCAAUAUGGGGAAAGAAGAAGCGGAGAUGGAAAGACAAUAAAACAGGAAACUUAGAUUCUAACUUUAUGCGAAAAAAUAUACCUUAUACCCCUGGAAUAUCCUAAUAUGCUUGGACCGCCCUCUUUAUAUUUAUGUAAAAAUGCAG
This 1613-nucleotide long non-coding RNA is filed under the name Durio zibethinus. RNAcentral describes it as "long non-coding RNA (DZIB_LNC000075)". The record is from RNAcentral. Lineage: Eukaryota; Viridiplantae; Streptophyta; Magnoliopsida; Malvales; Malvaceae.